RNAcentral lists this long non-coding RNA (1168 nucleotides) under Felis catus (domestic cat). Its description in RNAcentral is "lncRNA (ENSFCAG00000049628.1)". The record is from RNAcentral. Lineage: Eukaryota; Metazoa; Chordata; Mammalia; Carnivora; Felidae.
AUGGGAUUUUAUGAUUUCCUCAGGAACAUGAUUUCUCAAGCUACCACCCUCUUUCUAAGCACAGUUUUCUUCCGGCAGGAGUGCCUGUGUCCCGUUGGCCAGUGGUUGAUUUCAGUGUUGCUAGUGAAGCAGUUUGAGGACCUUGGCGAAGGCGAGGUGAGUAGAUGAGUAGUCCACAGAGCAUCAGGUAUGAUGUGCGCCUUUGGAAGCGUCAGGGAACGUGACCCCCCUCCUUCUGGUAUUUCCAUCCCUGAAUCUUCCUGCCUGUUUGAUCAUAGUUAUAGAUGAAAUGACCCAAAAGUAAGUGUCUUGAUGUAGACAAAAAUCAGGAAAGACCUUGGUGACUCAUGGUCAUUGCCCACAUUCCUGCUGUCUUCAGCGGGCUUUUAGGAAACGUACCGAUUCCAGAGCAGGCAGAUUCACAGCAAUCACGAAAGAUUUGUGCCCAGGAGAAAGCUGUCCUUGAACAAGGGGAAGGAGGUUGAGAACUGAAAAUGGUACGAAUCUUUUUUUAGUUAAUCCUCAUGGUACCACUUUCUUGGGAUGAAGUAACUUGUCACUAUCACUCAGCUCAAUGAAUUGAACGUUGCUACCAUAAAGCAAGUCAUACCAACUUGAGAAAGGCCAAGGUGUCCUAAAGAAAGAUCUUCUUUUCUGCCCUUGUGAAUGGCAGAUCUGAAAUUUAAACCCAGAGCAGUCUACCUUAGCCAUUUCUACUAGUUCUAUCUUUCUGUUUCUGGUAAACUUCAUCUGGUCAAUAAGAUUCCUCUUGUGAGUUGAUUUUGUUUGCGUGGAACUGACCAUAUAAUGAGUUGUAUUGGGAAGGUUGUUUUUUUUUUUUUAAUUUAAGUAGAUUUAUUUAUUUUGAGAGAGAAAGAGAGGAUGUGAGAGUGUGAGCUGGGGAGGCAGGAGACAGGGAGAGAGAGAAUCCCAACAGGUUCUGCGCUCGUAGCGCAGGUUUGAUGCGCAGGCUCGAUCUUGCAAACGGGGAGAUCAUGACCUGAGUCGAAAUCAAGAGUCGGACCCUUAACCGACUGAGUGAGCCACCCAGGCACCCUGGAAAGGUUUCUGAAGCUGAAUCCAGGUCAGUGAUCUAUUGCCGUGUAUUCUAAGGGUACAGGAACGGGUGGUAUGGGGGUUUAGUGGGGACAGAUUUGCCACACAAAUG